CCUACGGGAGGCAGCAGUGGGGAAUUUUGGACAAUGGGGGCAACCCUGAUCCAGCCAUGCCGCGUGCAGGAUGAAGGCCUUCGGGUUGUAAACUGCUUUUGUACGGAACGAAAAGUCUCUGGUUAAUACCUGGGGAUCAUGACGGUACCGUAAGAAUAAGCACCGGCUAACUACGUGCCAGCAGCCGCGGUAAUACGUAGGGUGCGAGCGUUAAUCGGAAUUACUGGGCGUAAAGCGUGCGCAGGCGGUCAUGCAAGACAGAGGUGAAAUCCCCGGGCUCAACCUGGGAACUGCCUUUGUGACUGCAUGGCUGGAGUGCGGCAGAGGGGGAUGGAAUUCCGCGUGUAGCAGUGAAAUGCGUAGAUAUGCGGAGGAACACCGAUGGCGAAGGCAAUCCCCUGGGCCUGCACUGACGCUCAUGCACGAAAGCGUGGGGAGC
RNAcentral lists this ribosomal RNA (439 nucleotides) under uncultured Comamonadaceae bacterium. RNAcentral's name for it is "bacterial SSU rRNA". It matches the Rfam family "Bacterial small subunit ribosomal RNA", at positions 338 to 769 of the family's 1533-position model. Lineage: Bacteria; Pseudomonadati; Pseudomonadota; Betaproteobacteria; Burkholderiales; Comamonadaceae. The record is from RNAcentral.